Gopherus flavomarginatus (Mexican gopher tortoise) is the source of this 2505-nucleotide RNA transcript. It is a transcript of the gene named mitochondrial matrix import factor 23, with no coding region annotated. NCBI's taxonomy places the organism in Eukaryota, Metazoa, Chordata, Testudines, Testudinidae. The record is from RefSeq and is a predicted model, not a curated record. The transcript has 2 exons.
CUCUACCUGUGCUCUAGUGCUGGGGGUUUAGACUGUGUUUGUGGGGACAUGGGGUAUGGCAUGGAGCCUACCCCCUGGUCCAACUGUGUCCCCCCUCGCCACUGCUGCCCCCUCCACCACCCCCACAGGCCUCUUAUCAUCUGCCUCAAUUCCUGCCUCUGGGACUCAGCUGCUCACCUGGUCUGCCACGCCCUAUUGCCACUGUUUGGGCCUGCAGCAGCAGCCAGCCAAACAUUUGACUUUGCACAAGUGCUUUUGAGUGCACGCACUCCCCCUCCCCUGGACUGACCCCUUCCCCUCUGCAACAGGCCCCCUAGCUUUGCCCCUUGUUGCCUGCCCUAUUUGCCCCUCAUAGCCUCCCGCCGCCCAGCUUCAAUCUGUUUGCCCUGCCUGUCUGCCUUUGUAGCUUGGUUUGUCCCGCCCCAGCCCUGAAGCUAGCCCCUUGGUCCCUCUGCCCUACUCCUAGCAUGGUUGCUCCCCUCCCUCUAUGAUCCUCUCACCUUGAUUAGUCCCUCCCCUUGUGCGCCCAUGCCCACUUCGGUGCGCUCGUGCCCCUGCCCUGUUUGAGUUUGUCCCAUUGCACUGCACCCUCCAUUGCUGUUGUUCCCCUCCCCUCCUCUAGUGCAGCUAGAGGAGCCGAGUUCUAUCCUGUGUCGGUGACUGACCUCCCCCAAAGUCCUCGAUAGUCCUGUUAUCUGUCCCCUCUCCCCCAUUUUGGGACCCUCCUCCCCUGCCUGCAGCCUAGCGGGGAGGAGUGGUUGACCUGCUUCACCUCCUCCCUUUCUUUCUCCGGUGUCUCCCCUUCCUCCCCACUCACCAUGGUGGGAGAUGCGGCAGGUGGGACCCCUGGGACAGCCCCUGUCCCCCUUCCCCCGCCUGCUCUCCCGAAACUCCCUAGUCUGCACCUCAACUGCUGCUGCCGGACCACCCGCCGCUGCUCCCGCUGGGAUGCCCUCUGCUGCUGCCAUGUCCCUUGCCCCCUCCGAUUCUGGGGGAGCCCCCCCAGCUGGCAGGAAGGGCCAGGGCAAGAAGAAAGGAAAGGGCCCUGCUAGGAAGACUAAGCCAUCCAUGGCAGGGGAUGCCACCGCUGCUGCGGUGCUGCUCCCCACCUGUUCCCUCCACCAGUCCUGCGAGUGCCCCUCCCCUGGCCCCUAGGGCAUACGCCCCAGUGGCCGGCCUGCCUGCCCACCGCUAUGUCAUCUCCUCCGACUGCCGCCUCUGCUACCACCUACAGCGGCCAGAGCCCCUUCCCCACCUUAACCAGGAAGCAUAGCAUCUGUUGCCUCCUGGUGCCUGCCUCGCCCCACGUGGAGACCUACGUGCAGGCAUUGGUGAGGGUGGUGGGGCCGACGGCCAUCAUAGCUGCCUCCAAGAUGUAUGACAAGGUUGUCUUCUUCCUUGCCUCGGAGGCCGCCACCCAGGAGGCCGUGGAGAAGGGCCUGGCAGUGGGGAGCAUGUUCGUCCCCCUGGAGCCGCUGGAGGAUCUGGGUGUCCAUGUGGUCCUGACCUCCAUCCCUCCCUUCCUUCUUAAUGCUGCCCCGUUACCUGCUCUCUCUACCCUAGGGAAGCCCCUUCCUGUUGUGAGCCCUCUCCCGUUGGGCUGCAAAGACCCCGCUCUCUGUCACGUUCUCUCGUUCCGCCGGCAGGUGCAGCUUCAACUGCCACUGGCUGCGCAUGGCGAGGAGGCACUCGAGGGGUCUUUCCUGCUCCCCUAUCAGGAGGCCCAUUACUGGGUACAUUACUCUAUGGAGGAGGCCCAGUUUUACCUCUUCCAGGCGACGAGGCAUGUUCGGAGGGACUGCCCCUUGGCCCAGCAUGGAGGAGUGCCCGGGACCCCUGAGCACUGGCGGGGUGUCUGCCCUGUCAUCGCCGGCACCCCUAGCCCCCGGUGCCCAAAGCCACCCCUCCUCCCUCCUAGCCCAUCACUGCUCCCGCUCGGGCCUCAGGGGUACCUCCUCCAGUGUGUCCAGACGAGCGGGAGAGCCCUGCCUCUGCUGCCUGCACUCUGGCAGGGCCUGUGGAGGAGGGUGCGGCAGGGGUACUGCUGGGCGUGGGAGAGGGCUCUCCCCAAGGGGAAUCUUCCCUCCCUCUUGUUGUUCCAUCAGUACCUCUACAAGUCCUCGAACCGUCAUCCCUGCCCCCCGACAUAACCCCUGUCGACCAGCCCGCAGGCAAUGCCAUGGAGGGCUGGACCCGAGUACAGGGUAAGCGGGGCAAGCGGAAGGCUCGAGCUCCGCUCCUACCACCUAAUGCGGAAGCCUCCCGUAAGACCAGAAAGGGGGCUGCGGACACUGAGCCUUCCACCUUGCCCACAGGGCCGGUCUCUCUGCCAGUGCCGGCUAGGGAAGACGUGGCACCCCGGAUGAGGCCCCUCCUGUUCCCUUGCCACCUGCGUCCCCUGCAACACCUAAGGUGAAGCUACAGCUGGAAGGGAAAACAAACGAGAAGUAUCUAGUCUUUGUAGCCAUACAAUAUAAAACUCAGGUGGUUGCUGGAAUAAACUAC